UGCGGAGGAAAAGAAACCAACCGGGAUUGCCUUAGUAACGGCGAGUGAAGCGGCAAAAGCUCAAAUUUGAAAUCUGGUACCUUCGGUGCCCGAGUUGUAAUUUGGAGAGGGCAACUUUGGGGCCGUUCCUUGUCUAUGUUCCUUGGAACAGGACGUCAUAGAGGGUGAGAAUCCCGUGUGGCGAGGAGUGCGGUUCUUUGUAAAGUGCCUUCGAAGAGUCGAGUUGUUUGGGAAUGCAGCUCUAAGUGGGUGGUAAAUUCCAUCUAAAGCUAAAUAUUGGCGAGAGACCGAUAGCGAACAAGUACAGUGAUGGAAAGAUGAAAAGAACUUUGAAAAGAGAGUGAAAAAGUACGUGAAAUUGUUGAAAGGGAAGGGCAUUUGAUCAGACAUGGUGUUUUGUGCCCUCUGCUCCUUGUGGGUAGGGGAAUCUCGCAUUUCACUGGGCCAGCAUCAGUUUUGGUGGCAGGAUAAAUCCAUAGGAAUGUAGCUUGCCUCGGUAAGUAUUAUAGCCUGUGGGAAUACUGCCAGCUGGGACUGAGGACUGCGACGUAAGUCAAGGAU
RNAcentral lists this ribosomal RNA (561 nucleotides) under Saccharomyces cerevisiae (brewer's yeast). RNAcentral's name for it is "partial large subunit ribosomal RNA". It matches the Rfam family "Eukaryotic large subunit ribosomal RNA", at positions 49 to 613 of the family's 3401-position model. The record is from RNAcentral. Lineage: Eukaryota; Fungi; Ascomycota; Saccharomycetes; Saccharomycetales; Saccharomycetaceae.